RNAcentral lists this ribosomal RNA (492 nucleotides) under uncultured bacterium. RNAcentral describes it as "partial 16S ribosomal RNA". It matches the Rfam family "Bacterial small subunit ribosomal RNA", at positions 29 to 507 of the family's 1533-position model. The record is from RNAcentral.
AGUGAACGCUGGCGGUAGGCCUAACACAUGCAAGUCGAACGGCAGCACAGUAAGAGCUUGCUCUUACGGGUGGCGAGUGGCGGACGGGUGAGGAAUACAUCGGAAUCUACUUUUUCGUGGGGGAUAACGUAGGGAAACUUACGCUAAUACCGCAUACGACCUACGGGUGAAAGCAGGGGAUCUUCUGACCUUGCGCGAUUGAAUGAGCCGAUGUCGGAUUAGCUAGUUGGCGGGGUAAAGGCCCACCAAGGCGACGAUCCGUAGCUGGUCUGAGAGGAUGAUCAGCCACACUGGAACUGAGACACGGUCCAGACUCCUACGGGAGGCAGCAGUGGGGAAUAUUGGACAAUGGGCGCAAGCCUGAUCCAGCCAUCCCGCGUGGGUGAAGAAGGCCUUCGGGUUGUAAAGCCCUUUUGUUGGGAAAGAAAAGCAGCAGGUUAAUACCCCGCUGUUCUGACGGUACCCAAAGAAUAAGCACCGGCUAACUUCGUG